RNAcentral lists this transfer RNA (77 nucleotides) under Erysipelotrichaceae bacterium. RNAcentral's name for it is "tRNA-Pro". It matches the Rfam family "tRNA". From Rfam's summary of the family: Transfer RNA (tRNA) molecules are approximately 80 nucleotides in length. The record is from RNAcentral. Lineage: Bacteria; Bacillati; Bacillota; Erysipelotrichia; Erysipelotrichales; Erysipelotrichaceae.
CGGGACGUAGCGAAGCUUGGUAUCGCGUCUGCUUCGGGAGCAGAAGACCGUGAGUUCAAAUCUCACCGUUCCGACCA